This 253-nucleotide ribosomal RNA is filed under the name uncultured bacterium. RNAcentral's name for it is "partial 16S ribosomal RNA". It matches the Rfam family "Bacterial small subunit ribosomal RNA", at positions 524 to 776 of the family's 1533-position model. The record is from RNAcentral.
UACAGAGGGUGCGAGCGUUGUCCGGAAUCACUGGGCGUAAAGGGCGCGUAGGCGGCCAUUCAAGUCAGAGGUGAAAGCCCAAGGCUCAACCUUGGAACUGCCUUUGAUACUGUUUGGCUUGAGACCGGUAGAGGUAAGUGGAACUGCGAGUGUAGAGGUGAAAUUCGUAGAUAUUCGCAAGAACACCAGUGGCGAAGGCGGCUUACUGGACCGGUUCUGACGCUGAGGCGCGAAAGCGUGGGGAGCAAACAGG